Molecule: ribosomal RNA, 496 nt
Filed under: uncultured bacterium
Lineage: Bacteria
Description: partial 16S ribosomal RNA
Rfam family: Bacterial small subunit ribosomal RNA
Source: RNAcentral
GAUGAACGCUGGCGGCGUGCCUAAUACAUGCAAGUCGAGCGAACAGAUAAGGAGCUUGCUCCUUUGACGUUAGCGGCGGACGGGUGAGUAACACGUGGGUAACCUACCUAUAAGACUGGGAUAACUUCGGGAAACCGGAGCUAAUACCGGAUAAUAUUUCGAACCGCAUGGUUCGAUAGUGGAAGAUGGUUUUGCUAUCACUUAUAGAUGGACCCGCGCCGUAUUAGCUAGUUGGUAAGGUAACGGCUUACCAAGGCGACGAUACGUAGCCGACCUGAGAGGGGGCUGCGCCAACCGGGACAUGAAACCCGGCCCAGACCCCCAGGGGGGGACGCAGUGGGGAAUCUUCCCCAAUGGGCGAAAGCCUGACGGAGCAACGCCGCGGGGGUGAUCAAGGUCUUCGGAUCGUAAAACUCUUUUAUUAGGGAAGAACAUACGUGUAAGUAACUGUGCCCGUUUGGACGGUCCCUAACCAGAAAGCCCCGCCUAACUCCGG